RNAcentral lists this ribosomal RNA (337 nucleotides) under uncultured Bacillota bacterium. RNAcentral's name for it is "bacterial SSU rRNA". It matches the Rfam family "Bacterial small subunit ribosomal RNA", at positions 1045 to 1382 of the family's 1533-position model. Lineage: Bacteria; Bacillati; Bacillota. The record is from RNAcentral.
AUGGUUGUCGUCAGCUCGUGCCGUGAGGUGUUGGGCUAAGUCCCGCAACGAGCGCAACCCCUAUUGAUAGUUGCUAAUAUUAAGUUAAGGACUCUAUUGAGACUGCCAGCGACAAGCUGGAGGAAGGUGGGGAUGACGUCAAAUCAUCAUGCCCUUUAUGACCUGGGCUACAAACGUACUACAAUGGCCAGAUACAAAGAGAUGCGAAGCCGCGAGGUGGAGCGAACCUCAUAAAAAUGGUCUCAGUUCGGAUUGGAGUCUGCAACUCGACUCCAUGAAGUCGGAAUCGCUAGUAAUCGCGGGUCAGCAGACCGCGGUGAAUACGUUCCCGGGUUUU